RNAcentral lists this ribosomal RNA (1126 nucleotides) under Strangospora pinicola. Its description in RNAcentral is "SSU rRNA". It matches the Rfam family "Eukaryotic small subunit ribosomal RNA", at positions 145 to 1278 of the family's 1831-position model. Lineage: Eukaryota; Fungi; Ascomycota; Lecanoromycetes; Strangosporaceae. The record is from RNAcentral.
AUCUGUGGUAAUUCUAGAGCUAAUACAUGCUAAAAACCCCAACUUCGGGAGGGGUGUAUUUAUUAGAUAAAAAACCAAUGCCCUCCGGGGCUCCUUGGUGAUUCAUGAUAACUUAACGAAUCGCAUGGCCUUGCGCCGGCGAUGGUUCAUUCAAAUUUCUGCCCUAUCAACUUUCGAUGGUAGGAUAGUGGCCUACCAUGGUAUCAACGGGUAACGGAGGAUUAGGGUUCGAUCCCGGAGAGGGAGCCUGAGAAACGGCUACCACAUCCAAGGAAGGCAGCAGGCGCGCAAAUUACCCAAUCCCGACACGGGGAGGUAGUGACAAUAAAUACUGAUACAGGGCUCUUUUGGGUCUUGUAAUUGGAAUGAGUACAAUUUAAAUACAUUAACGAGGAACAAUUGGAGGGCAAGUCUGGUGCCAGCAGCCGCGGUAAUUCCAGCUCCAAUAGCGUAUAUUAAAGUUGUUGCAGUUAAAAAGCUCGUAGUUGAACCUUGGGCUUGGUUGGCCGGUCCGCCUCACCGCGUGCACUGGUCCGACCGAGCCUUUCCUUCUGAGAAACCGCAUGCCCUUCACUGGGCGUGUCGGGGAAUCAGGACUUUUACUUUGAAAAAAUUAGAGUGUUCAAAGCAGGCAUAUGCUCGAAUACAUUAGCAUGGAAUAAUAGAAUAGGACGUGUGGUUCUAUUUUGUUGGUUUCUAGGACCGCCGUAAUGAUUAAUAGGGAUAGUCGGGGCUGUCUGUAUUCCAAUGUCAGAGGUGAAAUUCUUGGAUUACUGGAAGACAAACUACUGCGAAAGCAUUCAGCAAGGAUGUUUUCAUUAAUCAGUGAACGAAAGUUAGGGGAUCGAAGACGAUCAGAUACCGUCGUAGUCUUAACCAUAAACUAUGCCGACUAGGGAUCGGACGAUGUUAUCAUUUUGACUCGUUCGGCACCUUACGAGAAAUCAUAAGUUUUUGGGUUCUGGGGGGAGUAUGGUCGCAAGGCUGAAACUUAAAGAAAUUGACGGAAGCGCACCACCAGGAGUGGAGCCUGCGGCUUAAUUUGACUCAACACGGGAAAACUCACGAGGUCCGGACAUACUUAGGAUUGACAGAUUGAGAGCUCUUUCUUGAUCGUAUGGAUGGU